UUUUGAGUGUGGUAGAAUCAGAAGCAUUGCAGUGGUGGUGAGCACAUCUUACACAACUGAUCCAGCUUCUUAACACAGGUUCCUUAUAAAUAUAAAGAUGAAACCACUUCUGUAAGAAUAAUGUGAUGAUUGCAAGCCUACAGUGAAGACUGAGAAAUUUCUAAACAAGUUUUCUUUUGAUUCAUAAACAAUUUUCUACUAAGUAAACAAAUAAUAUUUUGCGCACUCAGUUGUUUGAUGUACAAAUGACUUGGAAAAAUUAUACUUCUUUCCCUGGAAACAUACCUUUUUGAAGAAAGUAAGUGAAAGAGGCAAUGUCCCCUUCUUAUUAAAACUUUGGAAAAUAGCUGGAAAAAUCA
This is a long non-coding RNA of Vidua macroura (Pin-tailed whydah), 359 nucleotides long. RefSeq lists it as uncharacterized. The record is from RefSeq and is a predicted model, not a curated record. NCBI's taxonomy places the organism in Eukaryota, Metazoa, Chordata, Aves, Passeriformes, Viduidae. The transcript is spliced from 3 exons.